Molecule: long non-coding RNA, 1321 nt
Organism: Ictalurus punctatus (channel catfish)
Lineage: Eukaryota; Metazoa; Chordata; Actinopteri; Siluriformes; Ictaluridae
Source: Ensembl
GAGGAGGCUAUCCGCCCACAGUACGUCUGCCCAGACAUGGUUGCCAGAUUGAGCUUACUUGAUUUUGCUAUUUAUAAAAUGAAAAAUGAAAUGGGACAAAUUUUAUGGUUGAUAAUUUUGUCUAGGCUUCAUUUGGUUAUUAUAAAUUGGGAUAGUUUAGCGUAAAUUGGACGGGUUUUAAAUUAUCCCCACUGUUUUGGAAGCAAGUCAAGGCAACCCCGAUGAAAUGAAACCAAAAAUUAUCGGUACACGGCCACGUUCACUUUUAAACACCCGACCAGUUUUUGCUACUGACCUGAACACAAGUAACUUCCAUGUGUUUGGCUACAAUACCCUACUCACAGUGAAGACACUGCUUUUUGAGAAAUGGCCUCCACAGUGACCACAGAUGCUCAUGGAGUCAGGGUGGUGACCCAGGUCAUUCCUCUGGUGAGUCCAGAGACUGUCCAGUGUCCCGGUCAGAACAAAGACAGCAAGACUAAAGUACCUGAAGCCCCGUACAUGACCAGGAUGUUCCUGAAGGGAGAGCCUGUAGCAUUAGGGACUGUGCAGAUCAUGAUUGGGAUCGUGAUGAUAGCUUUGGGAGCAGUUACUUGGUUCACACAAAUUCUGUAUGGUGAAAUCCCUCUGGGCCUUGGACUAUCAUUUAUCUUCUCUGGAUCUGUAACCUUGGGUGCACACAAGGGAACCUGUCCUCCAAUUAUUAAAAGCACAAUUGCCCUGAACAUCAUCAGUGCUGUACUUGCCAUGUCCGGCAUCUGCUACUUCUGCUUUGCACUUGCCAUAAAAGCUCAUUUGGAUGCUUGUAGUGAUGAUCAUGAGAAAAAGUUCUACUACACCGGCUACUAUGACUGCCAGUUUGCAGCUAGGCGUCUGCAGAACUUAAUAAGCGGAAUAAAGGGCAUACUUUUGAUUUUAUCCGUGCUGGAGGUGUGCGUGUGUACCACAACUGUUGUCUUUUCCUGCAAGGCCAACCUACAUGCAUCUGGGACUAAAAUGGAUGCGGUGGUGGUGCAGGGAAGAUGCAGCAGCCAAGAAGCUCUGCUGAACAGUGAAUUGGCUUCACCUCCAGCCUAUGAGCCUUGAGUGAACCCAUCCUAUGAAAGCAAUUUAUGGUUUAGAGUACAGUAUAGUAUAACAUAGUUUAAAGUAGUGCUUGCACCUUUUAGACACUAAUGUAAGAGUCUCAGAUAUUACACUUAAUUUUUUUCAUGUAUUCUGCUUUUGACGUUGCACCUUUGCACAAAUUUAUGCCACAUUGAAAAUGCCUGCAGUUAUACUGAAUACUUGUAUUCUUCAAUAAAUGCUAAAGUGCACUUAU